GAUGAAGAACGCAGCGAAAUGCGAUAAGUAGUGUGAAUUGCAGAAUUCAGUGAAUCAUCGAAUCUUUGAACGCACAUUGCGCCCCUUGGUAUUCCAUGGGGCAUGCCUGUUCGAGCGUCAUUUGUACCCUCCAGCCCUGCUGGGUAUUGGGCGUUUUGUUCCGCUACGCGCGUGAACUCGCCUCAAAUGCAUUGGCAGCCCGCCGUCCCGUGUGGGAGCGCAGCACAUUUUGCGCUCUCCGCUGCUGACGGUGGCAUCCACAAGUUUACCAUUUUACGCUUGACCUCGGAUCAGGUAGGGAUACCCGCUGAACUUAAGCAUAUCAAUAAGCGGAGGA
This 337-nucleotide unclassified non-coding RNA is filed under the name soil metagenome. Its description in RNAcentral is "partial contains 5.8S ribosomal RNA, internal transcribed spacer 2, and large subunit ribosomal RNA". The stretch from base 1 to 120 matches the Rfam family "5.8S ribosomal RNA", at positions 35 to 154 of the family's 154-position model. The record is from RNAcentral.